AAAAUUUGAUUUUCAGCUCCACCACAGAAUUGAUAUCUACUUGUUUUAUAAACACAAAACCGUAUACACUGGAAACAUAUUUAUUAUACUGUUGGUUCUUGUGCCAGAAAUUCAUUAUAGUAUAGACAAAUGUAUUUGCUCUCCAACUCUGAAAUCUAUUUGAGAAUUUUAUUAGAGCACAAUGAGUAAAAUAUUAAUUAUAAUUUUUUUCCGUAAGAUAUUAUAUUUCUUUUUAUGAAAAGGAAUCUGAUUCUAGUCUAUAAACUUGCAAAUAAACGAAUAAUGUAUACUUGCUAUUCAAGUAGUCUUUCAACAGAAUUCACAAAAGAAAGACAUUAUAGGUGUCAAUCAUCAUGGCUUAUAUUUUAUUUUUGUCACCAAGUAAACAAAUAUCAAUCCAAAGAAACCGUGUAAAAUACGAUAAUUUUUUUUUUUUUGUAAACUAAAAAUACGAUAAUUCUUAUGAUAAAAAAUAUGAAAAUUAUACCUGUAAUUUAGUUUUUGUUGAUCGGUAGUGUUAAAUUUUGUUUGAUCGUUUCACAUAUUUUGGAAUCUGCUUCAGUCAAUCAAUAUUUAUUAGGAAUGAGAUACGAUUUCUUCCAGCAUGCAACAAUUACAUAAAAUAAAAUAAAAGUUUGAGGAGUAAGAUAAGAGAUGAGAAAACCAAUGAUUUUCCAUUUUCCCCAUCCUUUACAGAUUUUCAGAUUUAGAAAAGAAGUAUACCUUGAGUUUUUUAAGAAAACCUUGCAUGUGAGCGAAUGAGCCUUGAUAAAUAAAAGCCAUAGUGGAAGUAGAGAAAAGAACGAGAUCCAAAGAUAUUAAGAAAGAGUAAAACAGAAAUAAAUGAUAUGAACUAACAAUUUAUUUUAGAGAAGAAGCUUUGCAUGUCCACAUCGGGUUCGUGGAACAGAGGAGAGAACUGUGUGUUUAUAGCAAUAAGCCAUCAUAGAAUAACUUCACACAAGUAUAUAUGUUAGAAUAGGGGUAGUUACCAGAGAUUGUUGAAUGGUGUGAUCGUGGAGGUGUGGAUAGAAGAACCGCCGGCAAAGGCGAGGUGGCUGAUAAAAUAUUUUUUGUUAUUUUUUUUUACUAAAUAUCUGAAGUAAUAACACGUAAUAUAGAACAAUUUUUUUUUUUUGUUUUUGUUAUUUAUAUUUUUCAAUCUAUGUGACAGAAUAUGAUUGGUUGAGUGACUUGUGAUUUAGUAUAUAAAGG
This 1215-nucleotide long non-coding RNA is filed under the name Brassica napus (rape). RNAcentral's name for it is "long non-coding RNA (BNAP_LNC009299)". Lineage: Eukaryota; Viridiplantae; Streptophyta; Magnoliopsida; Brassicales; Brassicaceae. The record is from RNAcentral.